CAGUCGCCACGGGAAUACGAAGGGUGCAAGCGUUAAUCGGAAUUAUUGGGCGUAAAGGGUGCGUAGGCGGUUUGACAAGUCAUCUGUGAAAUCUAUGGGCUCAACCCAUAGUCUGCAGGCGAAACUGUCGGGCUUGAGUAUGGGAGAGGUGAGUGGAAUUUCCGGUGUAGCGGUGAAAUGCGUAGAUAUCGGAAGGAACACCUGUGGCGAAAGCGGCUCACUGGACCAUAACUGACGCUGAGGCACGAAAGCUAGGGGAGCAAACAGGAUUAGAUACCCCUGUAGUCCCUGUCUCUUAUAC
RNAcentral lists this ribosomal RNA (301 nucleotides) under uncultured bacterium. RNAcentral describes it as "partial 16S ribosomal RNA". It matches the Rfam family "Bacterial small subunit ribosomal RNA", at positions 509 to 807 of the family's 1533-position model. The record is from RNAcentral.